This 660-nucleotide ribosomal RNA is filed under the name uncultured bacterium. RNAcentral describes it as "bacterial SSU rRNA". It matches the Rfam family "Bacterial small subunit ribosomal RNA", at positions 94 to 788 of the family's 1533-position model. The record is from RNAcentral.
AGUGGCGGACGGGUGAGUAACGCGUGAGAAUCUGCCUUGGGGUCGGGGACAACCACUGGAAACGGUGGCUAAUACCGGAUAAGCCGAUUGGUGAAAGAUUUAUUGCCCUAAGAGGAGCUCGCGUCUGAUUAGCUAGUUGGUGAGGUAAGAGCUCACCAAGGCAGCGAUCAGUAGCUGGUCUGAGAGGACGAUCAGCCACACUGGGACUGAGACACGGCCCAGACUCCUACGGGAGGCAGCAGUGGGGAAUUUUCCGCAAUGGGCGAAAGCCUGACGGAGCAAGACCGCGUGAGGGAGGAAGGCUCUUGGGUUGUAAACCUCUUUUCUCAGGGAAGAAGCUCUGACGGUACCUGAGGAAUCAGCCUCGGCUAACUCCGUGCCAGCAGCCGCGGUAAUACGGAGGAGGCAAGCGUUAUCCGGAAUUAUUGGGCGUAAAGCGUCCGCAGGUGGCGAUUCAAGUCUGCUGUCAAAGCACGGGGCUUAACUCCGUAAAGGCAGUGGAAACUGAAUAGCUAGAGUGCCGUAGGGGUAGAGGGAAUUCCCGGUGUAGCGGUGAAAUGCGUAGAGAUCGGGAAGAACAUCGGUGGCGAAAGCGCUCUACUGGACGGCAACUGACACUCAGGGACGAAAGCUAGGGGAGCGAAUGGGAUUAGAUACCCC